UGGGGAAUUUUGGACAAUUGGGCGAAAGCCUGAUCCAGCAAUGCCGCGUGUGUGAAGAAGGCCUUCGGGUUGUAAAGCACUUUUGUCCGGAAAGAAAUCCUUGGCUCUAGUACAGUCGGGGGAUGACGGUACCGGAAGAAUAAGCACCGGCUAACUACGUGCCAGCAGCCGCGGUAAUACGUAGGGUGCAAGCGUUAAUCGGAAUUACUGGGCGUAAAGCGUGCGCAGGCGGUUUGCUAAGACCGAUGUGAAAUCCCCGGGCUCAACCUGGGAACUGCAUUGGUGACUGGCAGGCUAGAGUAUGGCAGAGGGGGGUAGAAUUCCACGUGUAGCAGUGAAAUGCGUAGAGAUGUGGAGGAAUACCGAUGGCGAAGGCAGCCCCCUGGGCCAAUACUGACGCUCAUGCACGAAAGCGUGGGGAGCAAACAGGAUUAGAUACCCUGGUAGUCCACGCCCUAAANGAUGUCAACUAGUUGUUGGGGAUUCAUUUCCUUAGUAACGUAGCUAACGCGUGAAGUUGACCGCCUGGGGAGUACGGUCGCAAGAUUAAAACUCAAAUGAAUUGACGGGGUCAUAGCUGUUUCCU
RNAcentral lists this ribosomal RNA (586 nucleotides) under uncultured bacterium. RNAcentral describes it as "partial 16S ribosomal RNA". It matches the Rfam family "Bacterial small subunit ribosomal RNA", at positions 355 to 1375 of the family's 1533-position model. The record is from RNAcentral.